This 497-nucleotide ribosomal RNA is filed under the name uncultured bacterium. Its description in RNAcentral is "partial 16S ribosomal RNA". It matches the Rfam family "Bacterial small subunit ribosomal RNA", at positions 28 to 507 of the family's 1533-position model. The record is from RNAcentral.
GAUGAACGCUGGCGGCGUGCCUAACACAUGCAAGUCGAGCGAACAGACGAGGUGCUUGCUCCUUCGACGUUAGCGGCGGACGGGUGAGUAACACGUAGGUAACCUACCUAUAAGACUAGGAUAACUUCGGGAAACCGGAGCUCAUACCGGAUAAUAUUUCGAACCGCAUGGUUCGUUAGUGAAAGAUGGCUUUGCUAUCACUUAUAGAUGGACCUGCGCCGUAUUAGCUAGUUGGUAAGGUAACGGCUUACCAAGGCAACGAUACGUAGCCGACCUGAGAGGGUGAUCAGCCACACUGGAACUGAGACACGGUCCAGACUCCUACGGGAGGCAGCAGUAGGGAAUCUUCCGCAAAGGGCGAAAGCCUGACGGAGCAACGCCGCGUGAGUGAUGAAGGUCUUCGGAUCGUAAAACUCUGUUAUUAGGAAAGAACAAACGUGUAAGUAACUGUGCACGUCUUGACGGUACCUAAACAGAAAGCCACGGCUAACUACGUG